ACACAUGCAGUCGAACGGCAGCAUGAUCUAGCUUGCUAGAUUGAUGGCGAGUGGCGAACGGGUGAGUAAUACAUCGGAACGUGCCCUGUAGUGGGGGAUAACUAGUCGAAAGAUUAGCUAAUACCGCAUACGACCUGAGGGUGAAAGUGGGGGACCGCAAGGCCUCAUGCUAUAGGAGCGGCCGAUGUCUGAUUAGCUAGUUGGUGAGGUAAAGGCUCACCAAGGCGACGAUCAGUAGCUGGUCUGAGAGGACGAUCAGCCACACUGGGACUGAGACACGGCCCAGACUCCUACGGGAGGCAGCAGUGGGGAAUUUUGGACAAUGGGCGAAAGCCUGAUCCAGCAAUGCCGCGUGUGUGAAGAAGGCCUUCGGGUUGUAAAGCACUUUUGUCCGGAAAGAAAUGGCUCUGGUUAAUACCUGGGGUCGAUGACGGUACCGGAAGAAUAAGGACCGGCUAACUACGUGCCAGCAGCCGCGGUAAUACGUAGGGUCCAAGCGUUAAUCGGAAUUACUGGGCGUAAAGCGUGCGCAGGCGGUUGUGCAAGACCGAUGUGAAAUCCCCGAGCUUAACUUGGGAAUUGCAUUGGUGACUGCACGGCUAGAGUGUGUCAGAGGGGGGUAGAAUUCCACGUGUAGCAGUGAAAUGCGUAGAGAUGUGGAGGAAUACCGAUGGCGAA
This 678-nucleotide ribosomal RNA is filed under the name unidentified microorganism. Its description in RNAcentral is "bacterial SSU rRNA". It matches the Rfam family "Bacterial small subunit ribosomal RNA", at positions 51 to 719 of the family's 1533-position model. The record is from RNAcentral.